Molecule: unclassified non-coding RNA, 4358 nt
Filed under: Hevea brasiliensis (rubber tree)
Lineage: Eukaryota; Viridiplantae; Streptophyta; Magnoliopsida; Malpighiales; Euphorbiaceae
Source: RNAcentral
CUUUAAAGGAUUUGAGUAAAUUUUAGUUUUUUACCAGUUAUCAUGGGUGUCAAUGUGCUAAGGGCCUAUAAAUCAGGUGGUUCAAUUUUGAGAGAUCUUAGUAUGUGUUUCAGUGCUGAUUUCCCCAUCAAUGAUGGAUGAGGAUGAGGGUGCUCCUAGUGAUCCUCCUUGCAGCGCUACAUCACAAAGCCUGGUUGAGUUAUCAGGUUUCGGGUAUAAACUAUCUCAGCUAGGGUUUUUGAUGGGUCUUAAAACUUUUGAGCUAGGGUGGUAGGUUUUUGAUGAGUCUUGAGACUUUGAGCGAGGAUGGUAGCUAGGUUGGGUUUUAGGCACAAGCCUCCAUAUAUGUGGGCCUUUUAGACCUUUGGUAAUGCGUAGUGUUGCUUAAGCCUCUGGGCCUAAGCGAAGGUCGCGUGCAGACUGCAGGACUCUGUUUCCCGCCGUCUAGCCUACUCGCUAUAAAGCGUUCCUGCAGCCAAUUGACAAAGGCCAUAACGAGUUCUUCUCACUGUUCUAAAACCAAAAGCUCAUUUCUCGAGCUCCUCUCUAUCCUUCGAUCAAUCGAUCAAUCGAUCAAUCUCUUCUAUUUUGUAAGGCCCAAAAGGUCGAUUGUCGAAACCUAAAACCACUCAAUAUCUUCUACUUCGUUUUCCAAACGAAAAUGGAGCUUCGUUCUCGUAAAAGAAUCCCCAAACCCUCGAUGAAUGACAAUGAGCAAGGGGAACGUGAUUGCUCUAGUGAAGCUGAUGGCAAUAAUUCACCGCAUGGCUGUGGCUCUGAUGUUGAAUUGUACGUGCUGUCUUCGCAUUCUGAUGAUAGCAGCUCAAGUGAUGAAUGUGAAAUGAUUCAAGAUGUAGAGAUUACACACAAAAAACAAAAAGCAAAUACUAAAAUUGAUGUUGACAUAGAUGAUCGGGAAGGUAGUUUUCUGGAUUUUAUGAGUUCUAGUAAUCUUCAUAUUUCUAAUAAUCCGGAGCCUUCUACUAAAAUAAGUAUGACAGAAAUUGAGUUUAAUAAUGAACAACAACCAGCUCAACCACCAAGAGCAGCUCGAGUUAAAUUUAUUGUAGAGAAAGGGAAGAGAGCAUAUAGGUCAAGAAGGAAGCGGGAUAAAAAUAGGUCAGGGCCACCGUUGAUGUGGGAAGUUUGGGAAGAAGAACAUGAUAAAUGGAUUGAUGAACACUUAGCCGAAGACGUUGAUUUGGAUCAUCAACAUGGUAUUGUGAAUGAAACGGCUGAACCACCAUCAGAGUUGAUUAUGCCUUUGUUACGAUACCAAAAGGAAUGGUUGGCCUGGGCUUUGAAGCAGGAAGAGUCAGAGACCAAGGGGGGAAUUCUUGCUGAUGAGAUGGGAAUGGGUAAGACCAUUCAAGCAAUUUCCUUGGUCCUUGCCAAACGAGAAAUUCUCUGGAAAACCCAGGAAUCCUUUGGAGCCACACUUUUACCAGGUUCAUCUGUUGAUUUGAGUGGAAUCAAACCCACCCUUGUAGUCUGUCCUGUUGUAGCAGUGAGUCAGUGGGUAAGUGAGAUUGAUCGAUUUACUACAAAAGGAAGCACCAAGGUGCUGGUUUAUCAUGGAGCCAAUAGAGAGAAGAGUUUUAAAAAGUUCUCUGGUUAUGAUUUUGUUGUAACAACCUAUAGUACUGUUGAGGCUGAAUUCAGAAAAUACAUGAUGCCGCCUAAGAAAAAGUGUGCCUACUGUGGGAAGUCAUUCCAUGAAAACAAACUUGUUAUUCACCUGAGAUAUUUUUGUGGUCCUGAUGCCAUUAGAACUGCAAAGCAGUCUAAGCAAGUCAGGAAGAAGCCCAAAACGGUACCAUCAGCUUCUAUGCAGAAAACAGAAUCUGGUAAAGACAAAAAUCGUGGAUUUCAGGAUGAUGUGAUGAAGGGAGCUUGGAAGAAGAAAAGGAAACAGCAUGUUGUAGAUGAUGAUAUUGAGGAUAUGGAGAACUCGGAAGUUGAACAAGCCUUGCGGAAAGAGAAAUCACUUCUGCACUCGGUGAAGUGGGAUCGCAUUAUUUUGGAUGAGGCUCAUUAUGUGAAAGAUAGGCGUAGUAAUACUGCAAAAGCCAUUUUUGCUUUAGAAUCUUUAUAUAAAUGGGCUCUAAGUGGCACUCCCCUUCAAAAUCGUGUUGGAGAACUUUAUUCUCUGGUACGCUUCCUGCGAAUAGUCCCAUACUCAUAUUACUUGUGCAAGGAUUGUGAUUGUCGAACCCUUGAUUAUAGGUCAUCAGCACAAUGCUUAAGCUGCCCCCACAGUUCUGUGAGACAUUUUUGUUGGUGGAAUAAAUACAUUUCUAAUCCGAUACAAGCAUAUGGACCUCAUGACAUUGGAAAAAGAGCUAUGAUAUUGCUGAAACAAAAAGUUUUGAGAAACAUAGUGCUUAGACGUACCAAAAAGGGCAGAGCUGCUGACCUUGCUCUUCCUCCUAGGAUGGUUAUGUUGAGGCGUGAUACUCUGGAUGUUAAAGAAGAAGAUUAUUAUCAGUCAUCAUACAAUGAAAGCCAGGCACAAUUUAAUACAUAUGUUAGGGCUGGAACUGUGAUGAAUAACUAUGCACACAUAUUUGACCUUCUAACUCGUUUGCGGCAGGCAGUUGAUCAUCCUUACCUUGUGGAAUAUUCUAAAACUGCGGUACAAAAAGAAGGAAAACUGGUUGAUGCUCAUAAUGGUGAGCAAGACUGUGGCAUUUGCCAUGAUCCUGUUGAAGAUCCUGUUGUGAGUUUUCUUAAUCUGUUAUUAUGUUCCUUCUUAUCUUUGGAUGUUUGAUUCACGACACUCCCAACCUUUUGUUCAUGUUCUCUCACCCUUAAGUAAUUUGCUCAAUAUUCUUCUAUCAACUUUUAAUGCUUUUUAGGGGCUGUUUGGAUACUGGGAAUGAAAGUGUAGGAAUGGGAAGGAGGGCUCAUUCCCACUCCUUAUUUUUAAUACUUAACCUCCAUAUUGGAAUGAAAAUCAGGUCAUAACAAUUCAUAUAUUCUUGAUUUCACAUUCACAUCCCUUGUGUUCAAGAUAAUGAAAUGCUCAAGGAAUGUAAACAAAGAGUUGGUUCACAUUCCCAGUUUCUAAUGUCAAUGUACAAUUUGAUUAAUUGAUUUCCCAUCUAAUACUCUUGUUAUUUCAGGUCACUGCCUGUCUCCACGUCUUCUGUAAGGCUUGUCUGCUUGAUUUCUCUGCUUCCUUGGGACAAGUCUCCUGCCCUACCUGUUCUAAAUUACUUACUGUUGAUUUGACUGCAAAUUCUGGUGGUGGAGAUCAGAUUGCUAAGACAACCAUUAAGGGUUUUAAAUCCUCUAGUAUUCUCAACAGAAUACAGCUAAAUGAUUUUCAGACAAGCACAAAGAUAGAAGCUUUGAGGGAAGAAAUUAGAUUUAUGGUUGAAAGGGAUGGUUCUGCAAAAGGAAUUGUUUUCAGCCAGUUUACUUCAUUCUUGGAUCUCAUAAGCUACUCCCUACAUAAGUCUGGUGUAAAUUGCGUUCAAUUGGUGGGAAGCAUGUCUUUGCCUGCAAGAGAUGCUGCUAUCAAGAAAUUUACUGAGGAUCCAGAUUGCAAGAUAUUCUUAAUGAGUUUGAAAGCUGGAGGCGUUGCUCUCAAUCUGACAGUAGCAUCACAUGUUUUCUUGAUGGAUCCUUGGUGGAACCCAGCUGUGGAGCGGCAAGCACAAGAUAGAAUUCAUAGGAUAGGGCAAUACAAACCAAUCAGAAUUGUGAGAUUUAUUAUUGAGAACACCAUUGAGGAGAGGAUUUUACAGCUGCAAGAAAAAAAGGAGCUAGUGUUUGAAGGGACUGUUGGUGGCUCGUCAGAAGCCCUGGGAAAAUUAACAGAGGCAGAUCUGCGGUUUUUAUUUGUCACUUGAAUGUGAAACUGUAUGCAGUUCUUUGUAGGCUGUGGUAAAAACUAUAAGUAUAUAAAUGUUUGUAAUUUUGUCUUAUUAUUAGUGUUAAUAUUAUGGAUGGUUUUGAGUAUUUGCCCAGUCAAUAUCUGUACUGGUAAUUAACCUACAUGAAAAUUAAGUGGCUGGUGUAAGCUUUGGUGACUACUGACUAGAUUUAGGUCUUAUUUCAGUAGUCAGAUGAAUACUUAGAAGUAAAACUAUAUUGUAAUUUUUAUUGGACAAUGUUAUCCAACUUCAGCUGCUUGAGAGAUGGGGGAAGCAUUUUGCUUUCUCUACCUUUCUCACUCGCCUCGCAAGUUCUUUAUGUUCAACAUAAGGUCUAUUGCCUUCCUACGCCAUUGAGGUUUUUUCGCUUGAAAGCCUAUAAGGCGAGAACUAUUCAGUGCAACAGUUGUAUGUACAAUUGAUACAUUUUGAUUGUUGAUUAUUAUGGGAUCCACAUGGAAUCUAGUAUAAUCAAUG